GGGCGGGUAGCUCAGUUGGUUAGAGCACAUCGUUGACAUCGAUGAGGUCGUAGGUUCGAGCCCUAUCUCGCCCA
This 74-nucleotide transfer RNA is filed under the name Anaerolineae bacterium. RNAcentral describes it as "tRNA-Val". It matches the Rfam family "tRNA". From Rfam's summary of the family: Transfer RNA (tRNA) molecules are approximately 80 nucleotides in length. Their secondary structure includes four short double-helical elements and three loops (D, anti-codon, and T loops). The record is from RNAcentral. RNAcentral also lists the same sequence under 4 other names. Lineage: Bacteria; Bacillati; Chloroflexota; Anaerolineae.